This 443-nucleotide ribosomal RNA is filed under the name uncultured bacterium. RNAcentral's name for it is "partial 16S ribosomal RNA". It matches the Rfam family "Bacterial small subunit ribosomal RNA", at positions 338 to 795 of the family's 1533-position model. The record is from RNAcentral.
CCUACGGGUGGCAGCAGUGGGGAAUAUUGGGCAAUGGAGGCAACUCUGACCCAGCAACGCCGCGUGAAUGAUGAAGGUCUUCGGAUUGUAAAGUUCCUUUCUAAGGGAAGAAGACAGUGACGGUCCCUUCCGAAUAAGCCUCGGCUAACUACGUGCCAGCAGCCGCGGUAAUACGUAGGAGGCAGUCGUUCUCCGGAAUGACUGGGCGUAAAGGGUGCGUAGGUGGUUUGACAAGUUAGUAGCGCAACUCCGGAGCUCAACUUCGGACCUACUACUAAAACUGUUAGACUUGAGUGCAGGAGGGGCAAUCGGAAUGCCCGGUGUAGCGGUGGAAUGCGUAGAUAUUGGGAGGAACACCAGUGGCGAAGGCGGAUUGCUAGACUGUAACUGACACUGAGGCACGAAAGCGUGGGGAGCGAACAGGAUUAGAUACCCCAGUAGUC